GAUGAACGCUGGCGGCGUGCUUAACACAUGCAAGUCGAACGGAAAGGCCCAAGCUUGCUUGGGUACUCGAGUGGCGAACGGGUGAGUAACACGUGGGUGAUCUGCCCUGCACUUCAGGAUAAGCCUGGGAAACUGGGUCUAAUACCGGAUAGGACGAUGGUUUGGAUGCCAUUGUGGAAAGUUUUUUCGGUGUGGGAUGAGCUCGCGGCCUAUCAGCUUGUUGGUGGGGUAAUGGCCUACCAAGGCGUCGACGGGUAGCCGGCCUGAGAGGGUGUACGGCCACAUUGGGACUGGGAUACGGCCCAGGCUCCUACGGGAGGCAGCAGUGGGGAAUAUUGCACAAUGGGCGCAAGCCUGAUGCAGAGACGCCGCGUGGGGGAUGAAGGCCUUCGGGUUGUAAACUCCUUUCGCUAGGGACGAAGCGGUUUUGUGACGGUACCUGGAGAAGAAGCGCCGGCUAACUACGUG
RNAcentral lists this ribosomal RNA (468 nucleotides) under uncultured bacterium. RNAcentral's name for it is "partial 16S ribosomal RNA". It matches the Rfam family "Bacterial small subunit ribosomal RNA", at positions 28 to 507 of the family's 1533-position model. The record is from RNAcentral.